CCUACGGGGGGCAGCAGUGGGGAAUAUUGGACAAUGGGGGGAACCCUGAUCCAGCCAUGCCGCGUGUGUGAAGAAGGCCCUCGGGUUGUAAAGCACUUUCAGUGAGGAAGAACGCCUGGUGGUUAAUACCCAUCAGGAAAGACAUCACUCACAGAAGAAGCACCGGCUAACUCCGUGCCAGCAGCCGCGGUAAUACGGAGGGUGCGAGCGUUAAUCGGAAUUACUGGGCGUAAAGCGCGCGUAGGUGGCUUGAUAAGCCGGUUGUGAAAGCCCCGGGCUCAACCUGGGAACGGCAUCCGGAACUGUCAAGCUAGAGUGCAGGAGAGGAAGGUAGAAUUCCCGGUGUAGCGGUGAAAUGCGUAGAGAUCGGGAGGAAUACCAGUGGCGAAGGCGGCCUUCUGGACUGACACUGACACUGAGGUGCGAAAGCGUGGGUAGCAAACAGGAUUAGAUACCCUGGUACUC
This 465-nucleotide ribosomal RNA is filed under the name Vreelandella stevensii. RNAcentral's name for it is "partial 16S ribosomal RNA". It matches the Rfam family "Bacterial small subunit ribosomal RNA", at positions 338 to 795 of the family's 1533-position model. Lineage: Bacteria; Pseudomonadati; Pseudomonadota; Gammaproteobacteria; Oceanospirillales; Halomonadaceae. The record is from RNAcentral.